UCUUCCACCUAUUCCCUCUAUUAUUUCUGAUAAAAUAGUGGAUAUAGUUGGUUAUGCUGUUUACAACCACCAUAUUUUGCUCUCGUUGAGAUCCAUCUCAGGAUAUGAAGUCAUUGCAUUCCAUGUUAGAACUGAGAAAUGGUGUCAUGUGGAAGUAGAUACAUCUAGUGACAUGGCAUGUUCACAUUUUCCUUUCCGAGGGAGGGCGGUGGUUUUGGGCAAUCGGAUGUAUGCUUCAUCCAAGGCAUUCGCGGUGGUUCUUGAAUUUUUCUUCGAUUGUGAAGCUUAUUCUUUAACUCCAAAGUUGGUGUUUCCGAGGUUGAAAAGAAUGCACCUUGCAAACAUGGAUAUUGGUGUUCAGACAGAGUAUUUGGUUCAUUUGGGUGGCUGGGAUUUUUGUCUUGUCCAGAGUGCCUACGACUACAAGAGGAUUGAUCGUCAGCCUUUGUGGAUCACCACGUUCCGAAUCAUUGUUGGAAGCGGAGGAAGUAGCAACAUCGAGAUCUUGCAUUCAACUCUUCGUGAUGUGUACAUCCAUAAUGCUUGGCGUUUUCUGGUUGAUUUGAGCUUCACGCCGUAAGUUUCUUGCUUCCUUCCUUCCUUCCUUUCUCAAUGUGUUUGUCUUUCUAUAAAUUGUUUCAAUAUAUUUGAUUAUUUUGUGACUCAGAGAUUGCAAGAAUAGUGAACGCGAAAGAGAAGAAGAAGAAACAAGGUGCUAGGGAAAGGACACAAAGGGACUCAAAGGGAAAGUGUGGGGGAACACUUCUUCCUCCCAGAAAAAAAUCAUAUGAACCCACAGAUUCUCAGUUCAAUGCGGUUCAGUUGUGUAUUUAUGUGUUUCCAAUUGUGAGAGUUUUCUUUUUGAGCUAUGAAUAUUGUGACUUAGUAUUGCUUUCCAGUAAUUUCUUAUUCAAAAUAGACAUUGAAAGUCCAGUUGGUUAAAGUUGAAGCCUGGAAAACAUUUUGACCAAUGAAAUCCAUUUCAACUUCUUUUAA
This 996-nucleotide long non-coding RNA is filed under the name Prunus dulcis (almond). RNAcentral describes it as "sRNA ncRNA". The record is from RNAcentral. Lineage: Eukaryota; Viridiplantae; Streptophyta; Magnoliopsida; Rosales; Rosaceae.